GAGGAGGGGAGUACCUCUGCGUUUAGACUAGUGCUGAAAGGCGAGCACAUCUGGCGCGGAGAAGAGACUUCCAGGUUUAGAAAUGAAAGUUCUGGAUUAGGAGAGAAUGGAUGAGAAGGAGAAUUGCGGACAGAAGAAAAUAAUGUCUCCCUGUUUGGCUCUGAAGAAUUGCUUGGAUGAGAAAAUGGUGGGUACUCUAAAAGUGAGCCACAGUUAGAAGCAUUUUGGUCUUCUUCAGAGUUUCCUCGUAAAUUAUAGACAAUUGUUAGGCCUGGUGCCACAUGUGAUGUUUAAAAAGCUGUUCACUAGUUGAAUGGAACCCAUCUUUAGGCAUGUUUUUUACUAAAUAAAAUAUAUGUUUGAAUAAUAAUUUGCCAUGCUUAACAUAUAAUCUUCUUUUGAAUUCUAGCUGGAAAGUUGGAAUUAACUUCGAAUAGCUUCACAUUAAUGGACAAAUUGCUAUUUUUUAA
Molecule: long non-coding RNA, 470 nt
Organism: Vitis riparia (riverbank grape)
Lineage: Eukaryota; Viridiplantae; Streptophyta; Magnoliopsida; Vitales; Vitaceae
Exons: 2
Source: RefSeq, a predicted model, not a curated record